ACUCCAAAACUUAGUAGCUUAUGGCAACAAGUGAGUCUAGGUUGGCUGGGCUUGGCUGGGCUUGGCUCCAGUCUGCAGGCUGAAUGCAUGUCGGCUUCUCAUUUCUAGGACCAGGCUAAAGGAACAGACACCACUUCAGACGUGGUUCUCAAGGAGAGUUGGAGCUCAAGUGGGGACAAGGCCCUUGCUUGCCACAUCACGUAAAAAUCUUACGUGUCUUUAAUGCACUUCACGUCCAGGAACCUCAGCUUCAAAGAAAACCAAACGCUCAUGCUUCAUUUAAUUCCCCUUAUUCGGUCUUCCAAAGAGGUGGAGAAUAGCUGGUGCUCACUGUCCCAGACACUGAGAUGGCAUUUCAAGAUUUUCUCUGCAAUCUGGUCUCUGAACAGACUUGAGCCUUUGUCUGCUGGUUCCCAACCCUGGUUACACAUCAGAACCAUGUGCUCCAGGACCUCACCUCUUGGAGUCUGAGGUUGAGCCCAGGAAACUCUAUGUCUCCAUAUUUCCAUCCAGACACCCUCUCUCUUCAUGAAACCCUUGUAAAUGUCUUACUCAUUCUUUAGACAUGGCUUAAACCUCAGCUCCUCCAAGAAGUCUUCCAAGAUUCACCAGAUGAAAUGUAUGGCCCAUUUCUCCUACAUCCCCCACAGAACCGUGUUUGAACUUUACAGCUUAGACUUAUUUCUAUGACUCGCUCCACUAUGCAUUCCCGUCUCUAUAUCCCUAACACCUGCCAAGAAAGUGCUAAAAAUUUUUGUUGAAUCAAUCAGUCCAUAAUAGAAGAAAUGAUGUAAAAUACAGUUUUGUAAAUGAUGUUAUACCAUACUAAUUGAGAUAUGUGAACAAUCAUGAAGAAGAAGAAUUAAUGACAUUCGGGGGGAAUUAAAACUGAUUCCAAGCUUCA
Molecule: long non-coding RNA, 904 nt
Filed under: Homo sapiens (human)
Lineage: Eukaryota; Metazoa; Chordata; Mammalia; Primates; Hominidae
Description: HSALNT0369950
Source: RNAcentral